Molecule: ribosomal RNA, 423 nt
Filed under: uncultured bacterium
Lineage: Bacteria
Description: bacterial SSU rRNA
Rfam family: Bacterial small subunit ribosomal RNA
Source: RNAcentral
AAGACCUUGCACUUUUGGAGCGGCCGAUGUCUGAUUAGCUAGUUGGUGGGGUAAUGGCCUACCAAAGCUUCGAUCAGUAGCUGGUCUGAGAGGACGGCCAGCCACACUGGGACUGAGACACGGCCCAGACUCCUACGGGAGGCAGCAGUGGGGAAUUUUGGACAAUGGGCGCAAGCCUGAUUCAGCCAUGCCGCGUGAGUGAAGAAGGCCUUCGGGUUGUAAAGCUCUUUCAGCCGGGAAGAAAAGGUUGCGAUUAAUAAUCGCAAUUUAUGACGGUACCGGAAGAAGAAGCACCGGCUAACUACGUGCCAGCAGCCGCGGUAAUACGUAGGGUGCGAGCGUUAAUCGGAAUUACUGGGCGUAAAGGGUGCGCAGGCGGUUUUGUAAGUCAGAUGUGAAAUCCCCGGGCUUAACCUGGGAACU